AUGUACUUUACCCCAUUUGCACCUGCUAUCAUCCCAUACACCGGCUUCGCCACCAAGGCCUUGCAGAUUUACUCCUUCGAGAUCUCUGACCUAAAUGACUGCUUGAAGUGGCCACUCUAUGUGUAUGGCGUGGUUGCUGCUCGAGACGUUGUGGAUGGUAACCGCAACCUCCUCUUCUCUUGCUCCCGGGCUAACGGCCAAGUAGUCACAGAAAAGGAUCCUUUUUUGCACUUGACUGGGCCUUCUCGUGCUAUUCUGGCUGAGUAUCCUGUCGACUUUGAAGUUGAACUAAGGAUAAAAGAUGGAACAGAGUGCCAAGAUAAAGCCUUGAGGAGUUCUGCUAACCACCACAGUUUCGCUAGUGCUGACAGUGCUGUUUUCUUUAGCUGCCUGUGUUCAGCAGAGUUAAGCCUCCAGACUGUUUAUAGUGCAGUCCAGGCCACUAUCUUGUCCAUUCGUCUUGUUGGAGGGGAGUCAUCUUUUGAAUAUGGAGGUCAAGUUUCAUGUUCAUCAUAUACUGAAGGUGUCAAUGCUGAUGCAUGUCGGGAAGUUGUGUUGAUUGAUUGUGAUGAAAAAUUUCUUGAAGAUGGACUGGAUGGCUAUAUCUCUCUUUCAAGGAAUGUGGUCACCGUGGAAUUGGAAGGAUCACUGAAGAUUACCAUAAAAGAAUAUACAAAGUCUCGUCUUGUCGCUAACGAGGCCCAGCUUGAUAUCCCUGCUCAGCAUUGCCAAGUAAGCAAGAAAGAAUGUGUUCUUGGCGGACAUAAUGUGGUUGUUCUUAUUGCUUGGUCCCUGCUUGUGAGGGACAAGCUCGAUAACUUGAUGAUGGGGUGA
RNAcentral lists this ribosomal RNA (834 nucleotides) under Triticum aestivum (bread wheat). RNAcentral describes it as "partial small subunit ribosomal RNA". Lineage: Eukaryota; Viridiplantae; Streptophyta; Magnoliopsida; Poales; Poaceae. The record is from RNAcentral.